RNAcentral lists this ribosomal RNA (251 nucleotides) under uncultured bacterium. RNAcentral describes it as "partial 16S ribosomal RNA". It matches the Rfam family "Bacterial small subunit ribosomal RNA", at positions 525 to 775 of the family's 1533-position model. The record is from RNAcentral.
ACGUAGGGGGCAAGCGUUAUCCGGAUUUACUGGGUGUAAAGGGAGCGUAGACGGCGAUGCAAGUCUGAAGUGAAAGCCCGGGGCUCAACCCCGGGACUGCUUUGGAAACUGUGUGGCUGGAGUGCAGGAGAGGUAAGUGGAAUUCCUAGUGUAGCGGUGAAAUGCGUAGAUAUUAGGAGGAACACCAGUGGCGAAGGCGGCUUACUGGACUGUAACUGACGUUGAGGCUCGAAAGCGUGGGGAGCAAACAG